RNAcentral lists this ribosomal RNA (200 nucleotides) under uncultured bacterium. RNAcentral's name for it is "partial 16S ribosomal RNA". It matches the Rfam family "Bacterial small subunit ribosomal RNA", at positions 8 to 208 of the family's 1533-position model. The record is from RNAcentral.
AGAGUUUGAUCCUGGCUCAGGACGAACGCUGGCGGCGUGCUUAACACAUGCAAGUCGAGCGGAAAGGCCCUUCGGGGUACUCGAGCGGCGAACGGGUGAGUAACACGUGAGUAACCUGCCCCGGGCUCUGGGAUAACUGUCGGAAACGAUGGCUAAUACCGGAUAUUCACAUCUGGCUGCAUGGCUGGGUGUGGAAAGUU